Molecule: long non-coding RNA, 1182 nt
Organism: Oryzias melastigma (Indian medaka)
Lineage: Eukaryota; Metazoa; Chordata; Actinopteri; Beloniformes; Adrianichthyidae
Exons: 3
Source: RefSeq, a predicted model, not a curated record
UCCCAAAUUAAGAUAAUUACAAAGAAAUAGUCAAGUAUUUUAUUUUAAUCUAGCCAGGACAUUAUGGUAGUUCAAUCUUGUCAAUCACUCAACCUUGUUGACAUGAUUUACUAUUAAAAAGAGAAAUAAAGGUGUAACAGUAUUUGUUUAUUUGGACAAAGUGGAAGGUAAACUGAAACAGAAAGACAUAAAAAGAGUAUUUUGUUAAUUUCUACUGAAGAGCAACUCAAUGUGUCAAUAAUAGGUUGAAGUGAUGAGAGGAGACUAUUUCAGGAACUCUAAUUAUGACAGGUUCCAGGUUUUAAUUGGACAAAAGACAGCAUAAAACAUUAUUAUCAUAAAACUUUAUCCAGAUUUAAGUAUAAAAUGAGCAGUAUCUGCAUAAAGGGUUAAAGGCGGACGUAUAAACCUCCAUAAACGUCUUUAGUUGUUGCUUCAGAGCUCGAAUCUUCAUGAAUCCUCAACAUCAUUUGUUAGUCUGGUCACAUGAAGCAAUACGUUGAAAACAAGUUGGAUCCUGCCAGGUACAAAAUCCUAUAAUAUGUGAUUUAUCGCACACUGGAAACUGUGAAAUGAUUGCACCCAGUUUUGUGUUUUACAUUGAAACAGCCCAUUCCUUGUGCCAGUAAAGAAGGACAAACUAAUUGCAUGUAAAAAGUUUUUGAAAAAAAAUGAAAAUUGUAAAUCCAGAUGCUGUCAUUCUACGGAAGCACCUAAAGGGACUUUCGAGUAAAAAAAAAAAAAAGGGGGUAAAAUGUUUUUUUUUUCUUUUUUGAAAAUUUGAAGUUAAAUAACUUAUCCUGGUUAGUAACUGCUGCACACCAAAUCGUAACAGAUUUUUUUUCUUCUGAAGAUUGAAGUAAAAAAGUGUUUUGUUUUGUUUUAGAUGAAGGCAAAAAAAAGAAAAUCUCAAAAUGUACACCUGGCUGACUCAUGGGGCCUUCUGCGAUGACUGCAUUCAGACAGUAAUGCCCUGCUGUUCCUUUCACUUCACAGUCAAAAGGAACAAGGAACAAUUUUUCAGCUGCGCUCCAUUGAAAAGCAAACACGUGCUGCAUCGUCACAAAGAGGCCAGUGGGAGGAAACGCUCAGUUUGUGAAGGUCAAAGUUUGGUCAUUUUGAAGUUUCAAGGUACAGGUGCUGUGGAGUCAGUGGAUGAAAAUAAACUAAAAGAUCCAUUUG